RNAcentral lists this ribosomal RNA (761 nucleotides) under Neisseria subflava. RNAcentral's name for it is "bacterial SSU rRNA". It matches the Rfam family "Bacterial small subunit ribosomal RNA", at positions 28 to 776 of the family's 1533-position model. Lineage: Bacteria; Pseudomonadati; Pseudomonadota; Betaproteobacteria; Neisseriales; Neisseriaceae. The record is from RNAcentral.
AUUGAACGCUGGUGGCAUGCUUUACACAUGCAAAGUCGGACGGGCAGCACAGAGAAGCUUGCUUCUUGGGGGGAGAGUGGCGAACGGGUGAGUAAUAUAUCGGAACGUACCGAGUAAUGGGGGAUAACUAAUCGAAAGAUUAGCUAAUACCGCAUAUUCUCUGAGGAGGAAAGCAGGGGACCUUCGGGCCUUGCGUUAUUCGAGCGGCCGAUAUCUGAUUAGCUAGUUGAUGGGGUAAAGGCCUACCAAGGCGACGAUCAGUAGCGGGUCUGAGAGGAUGAUCCGCCACACUGGGACUGAGACACGGCCCAGACUCCUACGGGAGGCAGCAGUGGGGAAUUUUGGACAAUGGGCGCAAGCCUGAUCCAGCCAUGCCGCGUGUCUGGAGAAGGCCUUCGGGUUGUAAAGGACUUUUGUCAGGGAAGAAAAGGCUGUUGCUAAUAUCGACAGCUGAUGACGGUACCUGAAGAAUAAGCACCGGCUAACUACGUGCCAGCAGCCGCGGUAAUACGUAGGGUGCGAGCGUUAAUCGGAAUUACUGGGCGUAAAGCGAGCGCAGACGGUUACUUAAGCAGGAUGUGAAAUCCCCGGGCUCAACCUGGGAACUGCGUUCUGAACUGGGUGACUAGAGUGUGUCAGAGGGAGGUAGAAUUCCACGUGUAGCAGUGAAAUGCGUAGAGAUGUGGAGGAAUACCGAUGGCGAAGGCAGCCUCCUGGGAUAACACUGACGUUCAUGCUCGAAAGCGUGGGUAGCAAACAGG